CGCUGGCGGUAGGCCUAACACAUGCAAGUCGAACGGCAGCACAGUAAGAGCUUGCUCUUAUGGGUGGCGAGUGGCGGACGGGUGAGGAAUACAUCGGAAUCUACCUUUUCGUGGGGGAUAACGUAGGGAAACUUACGCUAAUACCGCAUACGACCUUCGGGUGAAAGCAGGGGACCUUCGGGCCUUGCGCGGAUAGAUGAGCCGAUGUCGGAUUAGCUAGUUGGCGGGGUAAAGGCCCACCAAGGCGACGAUCCGUAGCUGGUCUGAGAGGAUGAUCAGCCACACUGGAACUGAGACACGGUCCAGACUCCUACGGGAGGCAGCAGUGGGGAAUAUUGGACAAUGGGCGCAAGCCUGAUCCAGCCAUACCGCGUGGGUGAAGAAGGCCUUCGGGUUGUAAAGCCCUUUUGUUGGGAAAGAAAAGCAGCCAGUUAAUACCUGGUUGUUCUGACGGUACCCAAAGAAUAAGCACCGGCUAACUUCGUGCCAGCAGCCGCGGUAAUACGAAGGGUGCAAGCGUUACUCGGAAUUACUGGGCGUAAAGCGUGCGUAGGUGGUUGUUUAAGUCUGUUGUGAAAGCCCUGGGCUCAACCUGGGAAUUGCAGUGGAUACUGGGCGACUAGAGUGUG
RNAcentral lists this ribosomal RNA (629 nucleotides) under Stenotrophomonas sp. 412(2010). RNAcentral's name for it is "bacterial SSU rRNA". It matches the Rfam family "Bacterial small subunit ribosomal RNA", at positions 34 to 650 of the family's 1533-position model. Lineage: Bacteria; Pseudomonadati; Pseudomonadota; Gammaproteobacteria; Lysobacterales; Lysobacteraceae. The record is from RNAcentral.